UUUCCCUCCCUCACACCCCGACGCUUAUCACUCACUCCCUCCCACAGUCACUUUCACGCUCAACUCUCCCUCUCAGAUUUCUCCCCAAAAACCCAGCCACCUCCGGUCCCUCUCUCCCACCUAUCACCGGCUCCAAGUUUUGAGGCACCAUAAGCAAGCUCCACCCUCCGCCGGCGCUGUCCAUCACCGGCGAAACCCAGUUUCGAUUUCUACUCCUUGCUGGAAAAACACCUCAAAGUUUCAGGUUUUAUUUUUGAUGAAUCAUAAUUUUUACACAUGUUUGAUUUCUUAUCAUUUUUCAUAUGGGUUUUUUGGUGUUGAUUUGGCUGUGUGAGAUUUAUUUAUUUCUUUGAUGAUUUUGACAUUGGUUGUUUGAUAUGAGUUAGGAUUUAUGAUUUUCAGAUCUGGGUUUUGUUUUUGGGGUUUUAUUUAUGUGUGGCAUUAUGAUAUUUGUGUGAUGAAAUUAUUGUAUGCUAGUUUAUGAUUUCCUUUUCUUUUCUUUUUCUCUGGAUUGUUGUUGUCCCUAUUUUGUUUUGUUUUGUUUUUUUUUUUUUUUUUCAGUGUUUCUUUGUGAUAUAUAUAACAUUUUUUUUUGGGGAGCUAAAAACGAUAGAUACUUUGAUUGAUACUAUGGAAUAAUACAAGUAAAAACUGAGUUAAGAGCAAACUCAGCUAGGGGGAACACCAGCCCAACAAAGCGAUAUCCCCAGGAAAAGAGAAAGAAGAAAUUGAAUAAGGCCAAAAGAACAUGAGGUCAGACAACAACUACCCUCUAGCUAUCAGAUUAAACCUGUGCUGCCAUCAUGCUUUGGUAGUUUUCUAAUAAUCACCCUUGGAUGCAGCUGAACCUGUUCAAAAUUGAACUUGUUUCUUGCGUUCCAAAUAGCCCAAGCUUAGUUAAAAUUCAAAGAAGACAAUAAGGAAACUAGGCUUUUGAUUCGUAUUUAAUUAUUUAUAUAAACCUCUGAGUAAUGCAUUUGGGAAGCAUAUUGAUUGUAAUUUCUGGACACUACACAAUAUCUGGCUAAUGUUGCCUUAUAUAUAGAGCUAGAGACUUCAAAUUGUGUGAACUAGCUGAAUAGGAACAUCAUAGGCUUCCAUUGGGCACAAUACCAACAAAUAUUGCUGUUCUUUAAAAUUUUGACGAGCUACACAUUGUGCUGAAGCUAAUUACCUAAGCAGUCUUGAGAUUGACGCUAAAAUUGUCUUGUUGACUUCAUAGAUUAAUGACAUUAACAUUAUAGUUUUGAUUACAUGUUCUUAUUUUAUUUUAUUUUUAAAUGGAGAUUUAAUUUUUUUUCCAUGUUUGAACCCAAAAGGUAUCAAACUUCUAUAAAACCUGUAAUAUAAGUCAGACAAGAAUACAUGCGAAUCAAGAUAUGGGUCAGAAAAAAAGCUAGCUUUGUUGUACUCAUUCUCUAUCAAGCUUAGUUCUGGGUUUUGUCCAGAAAUAUUUUGCAGGUUCUGCUGUAUCUUGGCUGAGAAAUGUGAACCCCUACCUCUUGAUUGGAAGAGUCGAGAUGGGUUGUUGGUUCAGAAUGGAAAAUGUGAGAGGCCCAGGCCACUGACUUGGGGCCUUUAGGAUAAGCUGCUAAAUGUGACAACAAUAAUUGUUAAGCUAAUGUUCUGUUAUGGAGAUAGGAAGUUACUUCAAUUCUUGUAGCAGAUGGUGUGUCAAGUGAGAAGAUAUUAAAGAAAUUCUGACAAACCAGAUAUAGUUCAUAUUGUUGUAUUAUUUUUGAGCAACAGUUAGUGAUUUAUUUGUUCCAACUGCUGAUUAUCAUUUCAGCUCGGUGUAGAAAAUAAAACAUAUUUUGGGAUUUUUCAGCAUCUUAUUGUAUGUGGGAUGAUGGAUGAAUGUAUACUUAUUCUUGAGUUACACAGCAAAGCACUUGCCCAGCUUUAUGAAGACAAUCUAAUCCCAUAUUGCUACU
Quercus robur (English oak) is the source of this 1934-nucleotide long non-coding RNA. RefSeq lists it as uncharacterized. NCBI's taxonomy places the organism in Eukaryota, Viridiplantae, Streptophyta, Magnoliopsida, Fagales, Fagaceae. The transcript has 3 exons. The record is from RefSeq and is a predicted model, not a curated record.